GUGAAGAUGUGCUUACUUCCCCUUUGCUUUCCACCAUGAUUCCAUGUGAAGAUGUGCUUGCUUCCCCUUUGCCUUCUGCCAUGAUUCUAAGUUUCCUGAGGCCUCCCCAGAAGCAGAAGCAUGUAAAGCCCACAGAACCGGUCCAGUCGUCGACCAUCGAGCUGCUUUGAAGACCCUGCGGAGGUUCCGUCGCUGCUUGAACACAGUGCCUGGACUCCCUGCUCCGUGAGGCGAAUUUACACCGGGUCCAGCUGCGUCAGCCCGAGUUCUGAAUUAAAACAUGCCUCCCACAGAAUCUAUUUCUGAUGAAUAUGAAAGGAAGAUUGUUCUUCCAUGUUGGUUUUUAUUGAGAUA
RNAcentral lists this long non-coding RNA (354 nucleotides) under Homo sapiens (human). Its description in RNAcentral is "HSALNT0299627". The record is from RNAcentral. Lineage: Eukaryota; Metazoa; Chordata; Mammalia; Primates; Hominidae.